GAAAGUGUGCCUCCAGUAACAAGUGACCUAUUGUGUAAUUUGAAAGACAAAAAGUGUCUUAAAGAGUAAAAAAUUCAAACUUAAAUCUUCGCUUCCUGCAACUACGCUUUCUCAGUCUUUUGUUUUUUUUUUUCUGUUUUCAAACUUUUUUCUUGUUAAUGAGAGCAUUCGUAUGUGCUCUAAGCCUAUACUCGCUCUCAUAUUCUAUUGCUGAGCAAAAGUUUGUAAUACUCUUUUUU
This 239-nucleotide long non-coding RNA is filed under the name Brassica rapa (field mustard). RNAcentral describes it as "long non-coding RNA (BRAP_LNC005061)". Lineage: Eukaryota; Viridiplantae; Streptophyta; Magnoliopsida; Brassicales; Brassicaceae. The record is from RNAcentral.